Molecule: unclassified non-coding RNA, 629 nt
Filed under: Hevea brasiliensis (rubber tree)
Lineage: Eukaryota; Viridiplantae; Streptophyta; Magnoliopsida; Malpighiales; Euphorbiaceae
Source: RNAcentral
CAUGCCUCUGAAGAAGCAGCCUUAAUGGACCUCCUUAAUUUUAUGUAUAGUCAUACCCUAUCAACAACCACACCAACUGCUGUACUGGAUGUGUUGAUGGCUGCUGACAAAUUUGAGGUAGCAUCAUGCAUGAGAUAUUGCAGCAAGCUGUUGCGAAAUUUGCCUAUGACCUGCGAGUCUGCCUUGCUCUACUUGGACCUUCCUUCUACUGUUUUAAUGGCUGAAGCAGUUCAGCCACUGACAGAUGCAGCUAAGCAGUUUCUCGCUGCGCAAUACAAGGACAUAAAUAAGUUCCAAGAAGAUGUUCUUAACUUGCCUUUGGCUGGUAUUGAGGCUGUAUUAUCCAGUGAUGAUCUCCAGGUAGCUUCAGAGGAUGCUGUUUAUGACUUUGUACUUAAGUGGGGUCGUACUCAUUAUCCCAGAUUGGAGGAUCGACGAGAAAUCCUUGCCACACGACUUGGUAGACUGAUACGUUUCCCAUUCAUGACCUGCCGAAAACUGAAGAAGGUUUUAAGUUGCAAUGAUUUUGAUCCUGAACUUGCAUCCAAGGUUGUGCUUGAGGCACUCUUUUUCAAGGGUGAGGCUCCAUAUCGGCAGCGAGUUCUAGCUGCAGAGGAGGCUAAUUCCAC